CGCUCGAUGGCUCCAAAAGGAGCAUUAUUUAUUGCAACAUCGUACACACCAUGGACGAAUAUAUGGCCGAGGAAUCGAAUCGUGUUAUGACACUGGCACUGGAGGCUAACCGCAAUGCUGCAAAUGUGAUAGAAUUGCUCCGUGGAGUUUCGGAG
Long non-coding RNA from Drosophila willistoni, 155 nucleotides. RefSeq lists it as uncharacterized. The record is from RefSeq and is a predicted model, not a curated record. NCBI's taxonomy places the organism in Eukaryota, Metazoa, Arthropoda, Insecta, Diptera, Drosophilidae. The transcript has 3 exons.